Molecule: ribosomal RNA, 471 nt
Filed under: uncultured bacterium
Lineage: Bacteria
Description: bacterial SSU rRNA
Rfam family: Bacterial small subunit ribosomal RNA
Source: RNAcentral
AAUGAACGUUGGCGGCGUGGAUUAGGCAUGCAAGUCGAACGGACCAUGAGUAGCAAUACUUAUGGUCAGUGGCGUAAGGGAGAGUAAUACGUAGGUAUUUACCCUGGGGUCUGGGAUAGCGGCGGGAAACUGCCGGUAAUACCAGAUGAUAUCUCCGGAUCAAAGGUGUGAUUCCGCCCUAGGAGAAGCCUGCGGUCUAUUAGCUAGUUGGUAGGGUAACGGCCUACCAAGGCAGAGAUGGAUAUGGGGCGUGAGAGCGUGCCCCCACUCACUGGGACUGAGACACUGCCCAGACACCUACGGGUGGCUGCAGUCGAGAAUCUUCGGCAAUGGGCGCAAGCCUGACCGAGCGACGCCGCGUGCGGGAUGAAGGCCUUCGGGUUGUAAACCGCUGUCGAAGGGGAGGAAAUGCUAGUGGGUUCACCCAUUAGUUUGACCGAUCCUUGGAGGAAGGGCCGGCUAAUCUCGUGC